This is a long non-coding RNA of Rhincodon typus (whale shark), 415 nucleotides long. RefSeq lists it as uncharacterized. The record is from RefSeq and is a predicted model, not a curated record. The transcript has 3 exons. Lineage: Eukaryota; Metazoa; Chordata; Chondrichthyes; Orectolobiformes; Rhincodontidae.
CCUUGAUUGAAAGGGUUUCAAGAGACACAGCAACCCUGGGAAGAGCAUUGUGUUAAAACAGAUAGCAGAAGUUGGCUAUUAAUGAGAGAUGGUUCUGGGCUGCUGCUGAGACAGCAUGAAGAUUUAAAAGCUCUCUACCCAAUCUGCUACAUCAGCUUCCGAAAGCCCAAUGAGUAGAAUACGGAGUUAGAAGUUUUGUUGCCUUUGCCUGGCUGAACUGAGAAGGUGAUCCUGAACAAGGUUUCAGAAGAAGAGCAGCCAAGGAGUCCACAUUUAUACCUGUGAAGCAAUGCAUCGUGAAAGCUAUUUAGACAGUGAAUAUCAUGGGAGAACAGUGAGCAGUCUGGACAAGAGACAUGUUUGUAUUUUCCUCUUUCAAGCGUACACAAGAACAUGGACAAAAAGACAGAUUCAA